Molecule: ribosomal RNA, 253 nt
Filed under: uncultured bacterium
Lineage: Bacteria
Description: partial 16S ribosomal RNA
Rfam family: Bacterial small subunit ribosomal RNA
Source: RNAcentral
UACGUAGGCAGCGAGCGUUGUUCGGAAUUACUGGGCGUAAAGAGUGUGUAGGUGGUGUCGUAAGUUUGGUGUGAAAUCUCCCGGCUUAACUGGGAGGGUGCGCCGAAGACUGCGAUGCUGGAGUAUGGGAGAGGAAAGCGGAAUUCCUGGUGUAGCGGUGAAAUGCGUAGAUAUCAGGAGGAACACCUGCGGUGUAGACGGCUUUCUGGACCAUUACUGACGCUGAGGCGCGAAAGCUAGGGGAGCAAACGGG